RNAcentral lists this ribosomal RNA (497 nucleotides) under uncultured bacterium. Its description in RNAcentral is "partial 16S ribosomal RNA". It matches the Rfam family "Bacterial small subunit ribosomal RNA", at positions 28 to 507 of the family's 1533-position model. The record is from RNAcentral.
GAUGAACGCUGGCGGCGUGCCUAAUACAUGCAAGUCGAGCGAACAGACGAGGAGCUUGCUCCUUCGACGUUAGCGGCGGACGGGUGAGUAACACGUAGGUAACCUACCUAUAAGACUGGGAUAACUUCGGGAAACCGGAGCUAAUACCGGAUAAUAUUUCGAACCGCAUGGUUCGAUAGUGAAAGAUGGCUUUGCUAUCACUUAUAGAUGGACCUGCGCCGUAUUAGCUAGUUGGUAAGGUAACGGCUUACCAAGGCAACGAUACGUAGCCGACCUGAGAGGGUGAUCGGCCACACUGGAACUGAGACACGGUCCAGACUCCUACGGGAGGCAGCAGUAGGGAAUCUUCCGCAAUGGGCGAAAGCCUGACGGAGCAACGCCGCGUGAGUGAUGAAGGUCUUCGGAUCGUAAAACUCUGUUAUUAGGGAAGAACUAACGUGUAAGUAACUGUGCACGUCUUGACGGUACCUAAUCAGAAAGCCACGGCUAACUACGUG